UUUGACGGACAAGUAUAAUAUUGCAUGGGGACAUGUAAAUAUACUUUGUCCCAAUAUGUUAAUCCAAGCAGUACAUGAAGAUUUCAAGUUCAAGUCAAGAAUGAAAACAGAGGAAAUGCACAAGUCUCAUUUACAAGGUUUGUUCAUGUAGUCGUCAGAAAGACGAAGAUUGACUUGUUUAAGAAUAACGUUGUCAAGGUGGAUGGAAUUAAAAUAUAUCUACCAUAUAAAACUAGAUAUUUCAUUAUCAAAUAUUCAUGACGUUAAGUGAAACUACAUGUAAAGUUUUGGUAACAUGGGACGGGAACAGCGCAGUAACUAUAUCGGUACCCAGUCAUUUCAGCCGGAAUUUUAUUGACUUAUGUGGAAAUUGUAAUGGCAUUACAAAUGAUUUUAGAACAAAAAAAGGUUUUGAAGUGCGCACAAAACUGGACAAGUUUACGCUUAUUGGUGAAACAUACCUGAUUCGAGAAGGCAAUAGCGAAAAGUCGAAGAAAUCCACCUGAAUCACGUCCAUUGGUACACUAUGACGAAUGUGAUAACUAUUAACAUCAUCAGGAACAAUGUAUACCAGUACAGUUAGAGAAACGGAAACAAAGUAUUUCAACACUGUGGAAUACAAUUAUGUAUUU
Long non-coding RNA from Mytilus trossulus (common blue mussel), 632 nucleotides. RefSeq lists it as uncharacterized. The transcript has 3 exons. Lineage: Eukaryota; Metazoa; Mollusca; Bivalvia; Mytilida; Mytilidae. The record is from RefSeq and is a predicted model, not a curated record.